Long non-coding RNA from Chroicocephalus ridibundus (black-headed gull), 4056 nucleotides. RefSeq lists it as uncharacterized. The transcript has 3 exons. The record is from RefSeq and is a predicted model, not a curated record. Lineage: Eukaryota; Metazoa; Chordata; Aves; Charadriiformes; Laridae.
CAUUCCUUGGCACAAACUGUACGCAUUGGUCUUGUCACUCUGAGAACGAACCGUUUUCGGCACAACAUGCUGUUCAUUUCAGAGAGUUAGAAGAGGCCUAGCUAAGAAGUAAAAUUACUGGACAGAAAGUUGGUUCUAUUUCACCUCAAACCCGGAUGGAGGGUUUCUCCACCCACCCACACGUUGAAGGCAGCUCCUGCUUUGGUGCGAGCGUCUGCGGAGACGUGGUGCUGGUGGGUGCGUGUCCCCAGCAGUCAGCAGCUGAUGGAUUCAAAAAGCGUCGUAACAGACAGCAGCAAGAGCUCCAACCGAACAGAUUCCCAGGCAGAAAUCACAUGCUUGAUGAACUCUGAGGGUACAUCCCUGGCUCCCGGUACUCUUCUCUGACCCCAGGCAGUACUAUAUCUCAUUUAAAAGUCAGUCCUUCUCUGCUUGUUUGUUUUCUUUUUUUUUAAUUUCCUCAUCCCCUUGCUAUAGUGUUUUCCCUCUUGUCCUUAUAUGAACCAUCCAUCUUUUUCUUCAUCUUUCUGAUUUCUCUCUUAGCUUGACUAAUCACAGCAAUUUUCAAGCCUCAUAAAAAACUUUGUUGCCUGUCUCUCCUUCCUUACGCCGGCCUUUCUUCCUUGCUUUCAUCUCCUGAUUUUUUUCCUAGGGACAUGUGACUGUAUACAGGAACGCGUAAAUAGAGCUAAAUAAAAAUAUGUUUCCUUUAUACCUGAAAUAUAUAGAAAGACCUAAGGCUCAGCACUAAGCGUAUACCUUAAAAAGGUGGGCUUAUUCAGCGCUCCUCUAAGGCAAUUGAGACAUGUGAGUAUACAGCUGAGUGCGUUAAGCUGCACAGUGACCACAAUUCCGAGUACAUUGGAAAUAUUUUAUUUGCAGUGUGUUAAGGUUUUCAGAAACUGCUGUAUUGUUAUUGCCGGGAAAAUGCUGACAUAUAUUUUAUGUAACACAUCAGGCGGGAUACAGACUCACUUUGCAGAACUGAGUAGCAUUGCUACGGCCAAUUGUUCAACACAGCAUUUUGCUACGUUUUCUGACAUGCUUAAUAAAGAUAUUUUCAUGAUUCUAGAUUCAGUCUGAAUGCCAUUAACUGCUGGCUUUCUGAGGGAGCAGAAACGCAGCUCGUAAUGCCAGACUCCGCAGGUUUUGCUCAGCAGCCAUUAGGUACGACUUCAGAGCCUCUAAACCCUGGAAAUAAAAAGCACCUGGGCUGGUUGGCGGAACGUGGGCUGCUGCUUUCUGGCCGAUGGACGUUCUGCAAAUUGACUUCGCCCAUCAAUUAGGCUUAAGCGAAAGCCGUGAAGCGUUAAGGCUGAACCGGGCUUAAUUUUGACAUCAUCCGAUUCCGUCAUAGAAGGGGCCGUAGGAGAUCGUCGCGGUGAAAAACCUCCAGCCAAAUGGUCUGAAAGGUUUUUACGGGUGGUGAGAUGUGCCACCACUUGGAUCGAUGUGUGUCGUUUAAUGUUGGGAAGGAGCGGAUUAUUUUUUUGUGUGUUCUUUGUUUGGGUUUUUGAAGUUGCUGUGAUUAUAAGUCAGCGUAGUGGAUCCAGGUGAGGUGUAUCUACAUAUAUAAACGUAUAAACAUCACUGUAUGUCCGCAGCGGAGCAAAGGAAUCCAUCCCAGGGCAGAAGACGACCCAGAGGAGGUACCACAGAGAACAGUAGAGGGAAGGGGGAAGCGUUGGCCAAGGAGUUGUUCAAACUCAGUUGAUACCGAAGUGCGAUGAAAGCUGUGAUGCUCAUGUGGACUGAUGUCAGGUAAUGGUAGGACUAGAGGGAAUGGAUCAAAACUAGAGAUGGGUCAAUUCAGACUGGAUGUUAGGAAGAAGUUCUUCACCAUGAGGGUGGGGAGACACUGGAACAGAUUGCCCGGAGAGGUGGUGGAAGCCCCAUGCCUGGAAGUUUUUAAGGCCAGGCUGGACGGGGCUCUGAGCAACCUGAUCUAGUGGGAGAUGUCCCUGCCCAUGGCAGAGGGGUUGGAACGAGGUGAUCUUUAAGGUCCCUUCCAACCCUAACAAUUGUAUGAUUCUAUGGUUCUAUGAAUGCAGCUUCUUUUAGCAAAGAAGCUGAUUUCCACCAAAGAAACUGGGAAUGUCGGGGGAUUUUCUCCACCAGCAGUGCUGCAUCAGCCGGAGCUCACCUUAGCCCGAGGUUUAACAAGGUUUUUGCUGUGGUGUGAACGACACGGGAGAGGAAGAUCUCUCUCCCAUGUUUAGCCGUCAAGGCUGAAGCAGCAUCUGCUGGACCAGCGCGAUCUCCCAACACUGAGGGUUGUGAAGCCUCAGGUGAGGUCCCAAACAGCAGGGAGCUUUGCCGCUGGGUUCAGCAUCGCCGGGAUGUCACCCCCUCGGCCAGAGAACUGAAGCGUGCUUUUAAUUUCCUCCCGCGCUCAGGUCGGUCCCAGUUCAGCAGAGCGCUCAAUCCUCCGCCUGAGCGCUCGCGGUCCUCUGCCAGGACAAGGCGAGGGUUUGACAUGAGCUGUGUUGCGGGGAUCGCGUGAACCAGGUUAGGGGAAAAAAAAAAAAUAAAAAAAAUUGUGUGUAUAUUUAUAUAUAUAUAUAUAUGAAAAAAUAAAAGCAUCCCGGGAUUUCUGGAUUUGGGUCGGAUGUGAUGGGAUCUGGAUGAUGGCAUCCUGCCAGUAACCAGCUGGGCAAAGCUGAGUAACGAUGCUUUUCCUUCGUUGCCGUUCCGGCCAUAGGAUUCCUGUAUAAAAGCCCGUUUAAAAUCACUCUGCUCUCCGGGAUAUGUAACUUGGUCUGUUUUCAGCUCGCCACUGCUGAUCCUUCUAAAAGAGAGAGGUUUUUGACUUCCCAACCCCCCGUGUGUCCAGAGUUCAGAAAUCUCUGCGGAAGACGAAGGAAAUUAGAGAAAUUAGCUUUGAUCCCAUUCUGCCAGCAUAGGAUUAUUCCGCAUCAUACUGAUUUUGAAGUUUAUGUUUAAUCCGGUUUUACACGUCUCGGGGGACCGGGCUUCUUACAACCUCUUCUGCGAAACAGUUGUGUGGGUGUAGCCUCUGAUGUAGAGGUAGAAUUUGCAUUUCCAUUACUGCAUCCCGUGCCAUAUACAUAAUGUCGCUGUUUCGUGAUAUAUGGCUUUCAAAGGCAUACGGAUAUGUGGAUUUCAAAGGCGUAUCGUGCUCACGCAAUUUUAAAUGCUCACUACACAUUUCGUUAAACUAUAUUUUGAACCCCGGUCUUGGGAACACCUGCGCAUGACUUUCCUUCGGGUCUUCGAACUCUUGGAUAUAUUUAUAUACAAAAAGGGCUUGUAGCGCCCAGCGCGGAUCGUAGCGCGUGGAAACAACUGGCGUGAAACAAGGUUAAAAGAGCCAUGCGUGCAGAAAUCUUGCUAAUCGAGGCAAAGAGGGGGGUCAUGGAACUGUUUUCCAGCAAAGCGCAAGGUGUGAACGCUCAGCCCUGAGGUUUUUUGUUUUUUUAAUGCGUGGCGCUUUAUACGUGGCGAGUUUGUAAAACCCUAAAAUUUCUUUCUAAUAAACGUGUAUUUUCAGGCUUAAAAAAUACUUGUCUGUGAUCCUUCCAAGGGCCUUUUUGCAGGCGUUCGGUGGCGGCAGCGUGCUCAGAAGGUUUUCUCCUCACGCAGCCCGGGCACGGCGGUACCAGACCAGCAGAGCAUUUAAGCGCAUGAUCUAUUUUAAGUACGCCAGCGACGCGUUUUAAAAAUGACAACGUGUUUUGCUGGACUGACAAAAGCUUGUUCAGAGCCGUGUUAGGUGAGCGCCCAGAUCAGUCCCAGGGAUGCUUCUGCUGCCUCCUGGAGUCAAAAAGUCCUUGGAGUGGUCAGAAAUACGGUUUAUACACCAAAAAUGUGUUUUAUAGGUCGAGAGUUAAAAUUUCAAGUUGGCAAGGGUAUCUGUAUUUUAGUGGGAAGCCCAGGAGAUCCUGGAAUUGAACCCUCAGCUCUGUUCCUGCCCUGUGCCUUCACCCUUUAUACACACCUUGUGCUCUUACUUCAUUUUUCUUAAAGAGUGCAGACAGCACCGCGAGGAGAAAAUCCGGCUGCAUUUCUGGGAGAGAGGGCAAGCAGAAAGACAAU